Zonotrichia albicollis (white-throated sparrow) is the source of this 3711-nucleotide long non-coding RNA. RefSeq lists it as uncharacterized. The record is from RefSeq and is a predicted model, not a curated record. NCBI's taxonomy places the organism in Eukaryota, Metazoa, Chordata, Aves, Passeriformes, Passerellidae.
GAGCCUGGCCCUUGUGCUGCCGGGCAGCGGUGUCGGAGCGAUUGCACACAGAACUGAAUCGCUCAAUGGAAACGGCGCCUGGGAUGGUUCCGUGCCUCCCAUCAGGGAGUGAGGCAGCAGCACCUGCUGUAAAACCAGAACAGAAGGGAAUGCUCACCCCUUGAUCCACCAUCUCUGUGUGUGAUGCUGCCUGUCUCUGCAGUGCCCAUGCUUAGGAAGAAUGCUGUAGAGCUGCUGUGCUCCAGAUGCAGAAGCUGCACUGUCCCCUAAACUGAUUCAUGAGAUGAAGGCCAGCAAGGAUCUGCUGAAAAAGAAGGUCAGAGAACAUCCCAUUCCUUUUAUCAAGCCACCUAGGUAGAUUCUUGAAUCCACCUCCUGGAAAGGAGGCAUAAACCUGCUGCCUGAGCUGUCUUAAGAGCUUGAUCAAGCAGUGAGCUGGCAAAAUGCCUCUGCUAUUCCUUCUACUCUCAUGCUUGUCCCUUGGGAAGGGUUCCCCGUCCCUCUCAGCAGACAACAGACUGGGAAAAUGCCUGAUUGAUUUUGUAAUGUUUGGGAAAACCAGGUAGAUUGCUCUUCUGUGGCUGAAGACAUGCAAUGCAAGUUUUCACACCACUAAAAUCUCCUUCUGACAGUCAAUCCUCUUCCUGAGGCUGUGCCUGAGCACCCCAGUUAAUUCACUCCAGUUGAUACUAUCAGCUAUUUUACCUUUCUGCAUCUUCUCUCCAGUUGUAAUCAGCUGCUUUGCAAUCAUUUGUUUCAAAGUGAAAUUGAUGUAACAUUUUUUUCUUUAUUACCAUUUAUUUUCUUGUCACUGUGUGCUGCCAUUCCAAAUACCAGUGAAAUGCAUGCCAGGGCCACAGAGGUAUUUUGGUGGUUCUUCAGAAGAGGAAAGAUGAUGGUAGGCAUUGGAAAAUAUUUUAUUGUAAGCCUUACUAAAAACAUUUGCAAACUAAACCAAAUAACAGAAGCUUACCAUGUUGCACAGCUGACCAUUGAAUGUGAAAAUGUGAAUAAAAUUGUUUUGAAAACUCCAGUUCACAGAAAGAAUGGGAUGUAGUUUAGAAAUUCUCAGGGAAAAACUGUAGAGGGUUUCUCCAUACUCCAGCUGCGCUGAGAAACAUUGUGUGGUGAAGGGGUUAAAGCAGAGCAGGCAGCCCUACCACAACAGGGAUCUUUUGUCACAUAAAAGCAAAAGCAUUACACUGCUAUAUUUAAAGGGCUUAUAUGGAGGACCAAGACAUCCCAUCAUCUUAGGUUCUGUGGAAGAAUGGGAUAGAACCUGAAAUAGAAAGCAGUCUUAUAUAUGGGGGACUUGACAAGUUUGUUUCUGUGUUAUUCAGUCAAUUUUUGCUGUCAUUCUCCAGCCUAGCUCUUGAAUCCAUUCAACCUCUAAUAGCAUGAGAGACUCUUUAUUCACUGAGGAGGUGUUGAUUAAUCAAAUUAUGCAAGGAGUUGUCUGAAUUUUCUUCUUAGAAUUCAAAUACUCCAAUGCAAUUAUUCUGUGAAAAAUUUGCACAUUUUCACUGGCACUGAUCACUGCUGUGGCUGAUGUGCUCUGAUAAAGUCCAGUGUUUCUGGGAAUAUACUUGGGUCUAAAGUACCAGCUUUUCUAAUGGUCAAUAAGGACUUGAAAUCUCAUAGUCCUCACACCAAGAUUUUUUUGAGAAUUAUCAGACUAUCAGUAGCAGUCUAGGAAAAGAGCUAGCCAAAAAUGGGGGAUUUCCACUCCAUAAGCAAUUCAGAUGUUUUGAAAUUUGUUUUUGUAUCUAACACUCUUAUACUAAAUGAAAAAUGACAGUUGUUUCUUUUGGAUUAAACAUUACCCUAUAUAUUUGCAAAGUUUUCAGGUGCUCUUGCUCUGUAUACCUUGACUGGCUGUGCUGCUCACACAGCUGGGCUCCACUGGACAUCUCCAGAGAAAUGCAUCCCAGCUGGUUGGAAGUCCCCUCCCUCUCUGAAGGGAUGCAGGAGCUACAAGCACGUGCCCAUCCUUCCUCUGGAGCACAGUGGUAACUGGGACAGAGCCAUAGAUGCCUAUUGGAUGUGAAACACAAUGUUUGUUUAGGAAGAAACAAAAAAAGAACCUGUAUAUUUUGACUGGAACCAUUCUGAGCCUCAGAGAAAUCCCUUCUAGUGGAAAACCAAGAAUGACAACAGGAUUGAAGCAAUUAGGCUAAUUCCAGUUCUGCAAAACAGAUAUUUUCAAAGAGAAUAGUUAAUACAGGGAAAGAUCUGGGCAGAUCUUCUUUGAUGUCCUAAUGACAUGACAUAUCUAAACUUUUUAAAAGAAUGGAAUGUUUUCCCAAAAACAGGUGGGCUUUUUGUUCUAUAAAAAGUCCCAUAGUCCUGAGAGGUGAAAAGCAACAGAGAACAGUAAAACAGAAACCAAGGAGAAUCAGAGAUUAAAAUUUUAUAGUAAGUUUAUACACAAUGCAGGUAUAUGCAGAGAACACCCAAAUACACCAGGAACAGAAUGAAUCUCUUCCUUUAAAGUUUAAACUAAAGGCCACAAGAAUCCCAACUGGACUUUGUCUCAGGCAAAACUGACACUAUAGCUCUCAAGAAUGGUAAGUAAUUUGAGUGUAUGUAUACAUCUCUCUCUCUCUCUCAAUAUAUCUCCAAAUACACUAAGUAACAUUCAGAAGAUGGAAAGAGAGAGACACUGCAAACAUAUAUAUGAAGAGUUUGCCUACUAUAGGUGGAAUUUAAAGUUAUAUUUGUUUGACUUGGUAAAUGUGAUCUUUCUCUUUAAGUUCAUCCUUAAAUUUUAAAGCAUAAUUUGUUUUGAUUGAAUUUCUAAUGUUAAUUAGUGAGGCUUGCACUGUUAAAGACAUCAAGAACAUAUAAUUAUGUUCCUUAUAAUUAUACCAUAAUUGUUUUAGUACGUUAAAUGAUCUAAUAGAUUUUUUCCUGUUUCAACAGCAGCAUUACUACCAUCUCUGUUUUAUGAGAUAACUGGCAAGCAUUCAGUAGGUGCUUUCAAGCAUUUCAAGUAAAGUUUUUAUGGGUAUUCAUCUACUAAUGAAAUAUUCAUGCAUUAUAUUUUUCUCUAUGACAAGUGACUUUCACUGAAGCGCCUAAUGCUUGGUUUGCUUAGACAGAUAUAACAUUCAAUCAAACUAAUGGAAACUGUGGAGUACUGUUAUACUGGUUAUUACUAAAUCAAAUUCUCUUGAUAAAUAUUGAGUCUCUGAUGUUAAAAAGCAUUUCUAGCAUGAUGCAUGGAUAGUAAAGCAAUAAUCUGGCCCCUUGUUAAAAAUGUUAAUAUUACAGCUGUCAUCAUUUAACAAUUAACAUGAUUUCCCAAGUGGAGCAAUGCCUCAAUCUUAGAGUAUUAAAAAAUACAAUCUGUAUGUUGUUUGAGAUUUUACAUCUUGUGCAUGCAUUCACUCCCAAUGCAGAACACUUGGGCAAGUUUAUAUUACCAGCAAAAUAUGUAUACAUUCUCUGCUUAAAAUUUUACAUUUCCUUCAAGUAUCAUUACUUUCACCCACAUCAAUAUGAAGAAAUCAAUUUUGGUAAUUCAUAGGCAGGAUGCUAAUGAUCCUCUUACAAAACAGUUGGUAAAGGCCUUUAGAGAAUUGUCUGGGCAUACUGAUGUUUUUCCUAUUUGCUGCCUGGUUGCUAAAUCUCAUUAAAUGAAUCUAAAAUAAAUAAAAUGUUUUCCCACAAUACUUUUCCACAUGUGUUCUUUUGACAGUUUUUGCAAGA